GGCUGGAUACAGUACACUUUAUUGAUGGCACAUGGUAAGGUAGGGCUCCUCAAGGCCCUUCCCUUGUUCAAGGGUCUCUGGGAUGGAAACUGGAGGUCAGGAGAAUGUAUUGGGGAAUGAGUUGGGGCAAGGAGUCCCCAGCAGAUAAAGGCCUCUCUCUUCCUCUUGCUCUUGCUGGGGCUGGUGGACCAGGGGGCUCUUACUCCUUGGAAGCCAUGUGGACCAUAAAGUCCACCACCUGGUUGCUGUAGCCAAAUUCAUUGUCAUACCAGGAAAUGAGCUUGAUGAAGUGGUCAUUGAGAGCAAUGCUAGCCCAUGUUGAAGGUGGAAGAGUGGGGGUGUCACAUAGCCCAAGAUGCCCUUGAGGGGACCCUAUGAUGCCUGCUUCACUACCUUCUUGAUGUCAUCAUAUUUGGCAGCUUUCUCCAGGCAGCAGGU
RNAcentral lists this long non-coding RNA (438 nucleotides) under Lynx pardinus (Iberian lynx). The record is from RNAcentral. Lineage: Eukaryota; Metazoa; Chordata; Mammalia; Carnivora; Felidae.